Molecule: ribosomal RNA, 266 nt
Filed under: uncultured bacterium
Lineage: Bacteria
Description: partial 16S ribosomal RNA
Rfam family: Bacterial small subunit ribosomal RNA
Source: RNAcentral
UACAGAGGGUGCGAGCGUUAAUCGGAGUUACUGGGCGUAAAGGGCGCGUAGGCGGUAAGAUGUGUGUGAUGUGAAAGCCCCGGGCUUAACCUGGGAAGUGCAUCGCAAACUAUCUAACUAGAGUAUAUGAGAGGGUGGCGGAAUUUCCGGUGUAGCGGUGAAAUGCGUAGAGAUCGGAAGGAACGUCAAUGGCGAAGGCAGCCACCUGGCAUAAUACUGACGCUGAGGCGCGAAAGCGUGGGUAGCGAACAGGAUUAGAACCUCGU